RNAcentral lists this ribosomal RNA (460 nucleotides) under uncultured bacterium. RNAcentral describes it as "partial 16S ribosomal RNA". It matches the Rfam family "Bacterial small subunit ribosomal RNA", at positions 338 to 795 of the family's 1533-position model. The record is from RNAcentral.
CCUACGGGUGGCAGCAGUGCGGAAUAUUGGUCAAUGGGCGAGAGCCUGAACCAGCCAAGUCGCGUGAAGGAUGACGGCCCUACGGAUUGUAACCUUCUUUUGUCAGGGAGCAAUUGGGUCCACGCGUUGGCUUAGCGAGAGUACCUGCAGAAAAAGCAUCGGCUAACUACGUGCCACCAGCCGCGGUAAUACGGAGGAUGCGAGAGUUAUCCGGAUUUAUUGGGUUAAAAGGGUGCGGAGGCGGAAUACCAAGUCAGCGGUAAAAAUUCGGGGCGAAAGCCCGUUGUGCCGUUGAAACUGGUGGUCUUGAGUGGGCGAGAAGGAUGCGGAAUGCGUGGUGUAGCGGUGAAAUGCAUAGAUAUCACGAAGAACUACGAUUGCGAAGGCAGCAUACCGGCGCCCAACUGACGCUGAAGCACGAAAGCGUGGGUAUCGAACAGGAUUAGAUACCCCUGUAGUC